This 207-nucleotide ribosomal RNA is filed under the name uncultured bacterium. RNAcentral describes it as "partial 16S ribosomal RNA". It matches the Rfam family "Bacterial small subunit ribosomal RNA", at positions 568 to 774 of the family's 1533-position model. The record is from RNAcentral.
CACGUAGGCGGCUAUGUAAGUUGGGGGUGAAAUCCCGGGGCUCAACUCCGGAACUGCCUUCAAAACUACAUAGCUAGAGGAUGUGAGAGGAGAGUGGAAUUCCGAGUGUAGAGGUGAAAUUCGUAGAUAUUCGGAAGAACACCAGUGGCGAAGGCGACUCUCUGGCACAUUUCUGACGCUGAGGUGCGAAAGCGUGGGGAGCAAACA